AGGAUGAACGCUGGCGGUCUGCUUAACACAUGCAAGUCGAACGGAGUAGAAAUACUUAGUGGCGGACGGGUGAGUAACGCGUGAGAAUCUACCUUCAGGACGGAGACAACAGUUGGAAACGACUGCUAACCCCCGAUGUACUGAAAAGGCAAAUAUUUAUAGCCUGAAGAAGAGCUCGCGUCCGAUUAGCUAGUUGGAGAGGUAAAAGCUCACCAAGGCGACGAUCGGUAGCUGGUCUGAGAGGACGAUCAGCCACACUGGGACUGAGACACGGCCCAGACUCCUACGGGAGGCAGCAGCGGGAAUUUCCGCAAUGGGCGAAAGCCUGACGGAGCAAGACCGCGUGGGGGAAGAAGGCUCUUGGGUUGUAAACCCCUUUUCUCUGGGAAGAACGCAAUGACGGUACCAGAGGAAUCAGCAUCGGCUAACUCCGUGCCAGCAGCCGC
RNAcentral lists this ribosomal RNA (446 nucleotides) under uncultured bacterium. Its description in RNAcentral is "SSU rRNA". It matches the Rfam family "Bacterial small subunit ribosomal RNA", at positions 26 to 518 of the family's 1533-position model. The record is from RNAcentral.